Molecule: long non-coding RNA, 449 nt
Filed under: Capsicum annuum
Lineage: Eukaryota; Viridiplantae; Streptophyta; Magnoliopsida; Solanales; Solanaceae
Description: long non-coding RNA (CANN_LNC020662)
Source: RNAcentral
AUAAGAUGUUUCCAUUAUAAAUCCUUAGCACUUAUAUAAUUAUAUAAUAUACAUCUUUUACUAUUAAAAAAAAGUUAAUAAGAUGUUUCCAUAAUAAUCAUCAUAGGAAGAUAAUUACUUAAUCUACCUUGAUUUUGAAGGUUUUUUCUGUGGGUGAAAUUACAAUAAAAUUACAAUUGAUAAAUUACAAAUGAAGAAAAUAAAAAAUAUCUUCUUCUUGGCUGAGGCGUGGAUAUCUCGCUCUCUUUAAAGAGAUCCACGCCCACUGCUACAAAUAUUUUCACCGGUCCAGCAGUAAUCUUCUUGACUUGUCCCCUCCAGGAUACAACAACCUUCUCACAAAGAACAAUUCAAUAACUCUAGAUAUGAGCCGAGUUCAAAGCUUCACAAAAAAAAUACCUUCCUUCAACUAAUAAACUCUUUUUUUUCUAACUUUUGUUAACUCUAUA